Molecule: ribosomal RNA, 461 nt
Filed under: uncultured bacterium
Lineage: Bacteria
Description: partial 16S ribosomal RNA
Rfam family: Bacterial small subunit ribosomal RNA
Source: RNAcentral
CCUACGGGUGGGCAGCAGUGAGGAAGAUUGGGCAAUGGGAGCGAGCUUGAACCAGCCAAGCAGCGUGAAGGAUGACUGCCUGAAGGGUUGUAAACUUCUUUUAUAAAGGAAGAAAGUGAGGCACGGGUGCCUUUUUGUAUGUACUUUAUGAAUAAGGAUCGGCUAACUCCGUGCCAGCAGCCGCGGUAAUACGGAGGAUCCGAGCGGUAUCCGGAUUUAUUGGGUUUAAAGGGAGCGUAGAUGGGUUGUUAAGUCAGUUGUGAAAGUUUGCGGCUCAACCGUAAAAUUGCAAUUGAUACUGGCAGCCUUGAGUACAGUUGAGGUAGGCGGAAUGCGUGGUGUAGCGGUGAAAUGCAUAGAUAUCACGAAGAACUCCGAUUGCGAAGGCAGCUUACUAAACUGCCACUGACAUUGAUGCUCGAAAGUGUGGGUAUCAAACAGGAUUAGAUACCCUAGUAGUC